UGGGAAAUCUUGCGCAAUGGCCGAAAGGCUGACGCAGCGACGCCGCGUGUGGGAGGAAGCUCUUCGGGGUGUAAACCACUGUUGCCCGGGACGAAUGAUGAGCAUUUGCUCAUUUGACGGUACCGGGUGAGGAAGCACCGGCUAACUCUGUGCCAGCAGCCGCGGUAAUACAGAGGGUGCGAGCGUUGUCCGGAAUCACUGGGCGUAAAGGGCGCGUAGGCGGCUCGAUAAGGUUGCGGUGAAAGCCCGGGGCUCAACCCCGGGUCGGCCGUGGCAACUGUCGAGCUGGAGCACUGUAGAGGCAGGUGGAAUUCCGGGUGUAGCGGUGGAAUGCGUAGAGAUCCGGAAGAACACCGGUGGCGAAGGCGGCCUGCUGGGCAGUGGCUGACGCUGAGGCGCGACAGCGUGGGGAGCAAAC
Molecule: ribosomal RNA, 418 nt
Filed under: uncultured bacterium
Lineage: Bacteria
Description: bacterial SSU rRNA
Rfam family: Bacterial small subunit ribosomal RNA
Source: RNAcentral